GGGGAAUCUUGCGCAAUGGGCGAAAGCCUGACGCAGCGACGCCGCGUGAGCGAUGAAGGCCUUCGGUUGUAAAGCUCUGUGGAGGGGGACGGAAUAAGGGCACGCUAAUACCGUGUUUGAUGACGGUACCCCUUUAGCAAGCACCGGCUAACUCUGUGCCAGCAGCCGCGGUAAGACAGAGGGUGCAAACGUUGUUCGGAAUUACUGGGCGUAAAGCGCGUGUAGGCUGUUCGGAAAGUCGGAUGUGAAAGCCCCGGGCUCAACCCGGGAAGUGCAUUCGAAACUUCCGAGCUGGAGUCCUGGGAGAGGGAAGGCGGGAAUUCUCGGUGUAGAGGUGAAAUUCGUAGAUAUCGAGAGGAACACCGGUGGCGAAGGCGGCCUUCUGGACAGUGACUGACGCUGAGACGCGAAAGCGUGGGG
RNAcentral lists this ribosomal RNA (420 nucleotides) under uncultured bacterium. Its description in RNAcentral is "bacterial SSU rRNA". It matches the Rfam family "Bacterial small subunit ribosomal RNA", at positions 356 to 766 of the family's 1533-position model. The record is from RNAcentral.